ACAUCUUCGAGACGCCAAAGAUUUAUCGGCAAGGGAUGGGCCUGCGUCUGAUUAGUUAGUUGGUGGGGUAACGGCCUACCAAGGCAGCGAUCAGUAGCCGACCUGAGAGGGUGAUCGGCCACAUUGGAACUGAGACACGGUCCAAACUCCUACGGGAGGCAGCAGUGGGGAAUAUUGCGCAAGGGGCGAAAGCCUGAUGCAGCAACGCCGCGUGAAGGAAGAGAGGCCCUUGGGUCGUAAACUUCUUUCUAAGGG
This 255-nucleotide ribosomal RNA is filed under the name uncultured bacterium. RNAcentral describes it as "partial 16S ribosomal RNA". It matches the Rfam family "Bacterial small subunit ribosomal RNA", at positions 187 to 443 of the family's 1533-position model. The record is from RNAcentral.